Molecule: ribosomal RNA, 406 nt
Filed under: uncultured bacterium
Lineage: Bacteria
Description: partial 16S ribosomal RNA
Rfam family: Bacterial small subunit ribosomal RNA
Source: RNAcentral
AUUGAACGCUGGCGGCAGGCUUAACACAUGCAAGUCGAGUGAGCGGCGGACGGGUGAGUAAUGUCUGGGAAAAUGCCUGAUGGAGGGGGAUAACUACUGGAAAAGGUAGCUAAUACAGCAUACCACCCGAUGUGUCCAGAUGGGAUUAGCUAGUAGGUGGGGUAAUGGCACACCUAGGCGACGAUCCCUAGCUGGUCUGAGAGGCAGACCGGCCACACUGGAACUGAGACACGGUCCAGACUCCUACGGGAGACAGCAGUGGGGAAUAUUGGACAAUGGGCGAAAGCCUGAUGCAGCCAUGCCGCGUGUGUGAAGAAGGCCUUCGGGUUGUAAAGCACUUUCAGCGAGGAGGCGUUACUCGCAGAAGAAGCACCGGCUAACUCCGUGCCAGCAGCCGCGGUAAUUC